This is a long non-coding RNA of Camelus dromedarius (Arabian camel), 527 nucleotides long. RefSeq lists it as uncharacterized. The record is from RefSeq and is a predicted model, not a curated record. The transcript is spliced from 3 exons. NCBI's taxonomy places the organism in Eukaryota, Metazoa, Chordata, Mammalia, Artiodactyla, Camelidae.
CCUCACACAGCCCCGCCACGCCGCCUGCGGGACCGCGGAUCCCCAGAGUGCAGGUCCCUGGAAGCCAGCAGAACAACUGGAGGGUCCACCUGCCGGGCUACGCGAAAAGUUAAGAGUUCAAGUUGACUGGUGCAAAUCAGGAUCCAAAUAAGGUCCACGCACAGGAUUUGGAUGUUGGGUCUCUUUUUAACCUGAAGCUGCCCCUCCCAUCCUGCCUCGCACCACUGACUUGUUGGAAAAGAAAAGCUGGUGCUCCCACAUCAGUGGUUCCACACCCACAGAUUCAACCAAGCUUGGGUUCAGUCAACCUCGGAUGCUGUAGUCCUGUAGUACGUGUACUUACUGAAAAAAACCCGCAUAUAAAUGGACCCACACAGUUCAAACAUGUUCAGGAUCAAUUAUAUUUCGUUAGAGGUUACAAAAUAGUAAUUUUUCAAAAAAAUGUGACAAUGAAUAUAUGUAUGUUCAUGUAUAACUGAAAAAUUGUGCUCUACGCUGGAAUUUGACACAUUGUAAAAUGACUAUAA